GAUGAAGAACGUAGCGAAAUGCGAUACUUGGUGUGAAUUGCAGAAUCCCGUGAACCAUCGAGUCUUUGAACGCAAGUUGCGCCCGAAGCCAUCAGGUUGAGGGCACGUCUGCCUGGGCGUCACAUAUCGUUGCCCAAUGCCUAUUGCAGUGCAAUAGGAAUUUCUAGGGCGAAUGAUGGCUUCCCGUGAGCGUUGUUGCCUCGCGGUUGGUUGAAAAUCGAGUCCUUGGUAGGGUGUGCCAUGGUAGAUGGUGGUCGAGUUAGAACGAUACCGAUCAUGUGCAUGCUCCCCAAAAUAUGGCCUCUAUGACCCACACGCGUCUUUGACGCUCAUGACGAGACCUCAGGUCAGGCGGGGCUACCCGCUGAAUUUAAGCAUAUCAAUAAGCGGAGGA
RNAcentral lists this unclassified non-coding RNA (394 nucleotides) under soil metagenome. RNAcentral describes it as "partial contains 5.8S ribosomal RNA, internal transcribed spacer 2, and large subunit ribosomal RNA". The stretch from base 1 to 122 matches the Rfam family "5.8S ribosomal RNA", at positions 35 to 154 of the family's 154-position model. The record is from RNAcentral.